GACGAACGCUGGCGGCGUGCUUAACACAUGCAAGUCGAACGGUGAAGCGCCUUCCUUUUUGGUGGGUGUGGAUGAGUGGCGAACGGGUGAGUAACACGUGAGUAACCUGCCCCCUUCUUCUGGAUAACCGCAUGAAAGUGUGGCUAAUACGGGAUAUUCUGUGUCUGUCGCAUGAUGGGUCUGGGAAAGAUAUUGUUUCGGUGGGGGAUGGGCUCGCGGCCUAUCAGCUUGUUGGUGGGGUGAUGGCCUACCAAGGCGGUGACGGGUAGCCGGCCUGAGAGGGUGGACGGCCACACAGGGACUGAGACACGGCCCAGACUCCGACGGGAGGCAGCAGGGGGGAAUAUUGCACGAUGGGCGCAAGGCUGAUGCAGCGACGCCGCGGGGGAGAAGGAGGCCGUCGGGUUGUGAACCUCUUUCGCCAGUGAAGCAGGCCUGCCUCGUUUGUGGGUGGGUUGACGGUAGCUGGAUAAGAAGCGCCGGCUAACUACGUG
This 494-nucleotide ribosomal RNA is filed under the name uncultured bacterium. RNAcentral describes it as "partial 16S ribosomal RNA". It matches the Rfam family "Bacterial small subunit ribosomal RNA", at positions 28 to 507 of the family's 1533-position model. The record is from RNAcentral.